This 1265-nucleotide ribosomal RNA is filed under the name Appolonius crassus. RNAcentral's name for it is "16S ribosomal RNA". The stretch from base 1021 to 1179 matches the Rfam family "Archaeal large subunit ribosomal RNA", at positions 2542 to 2701 of the family's 2987-position model. The record is from RNAcentral. Lineage: Eukaryota; Metazoa; Arthropoda; Insecta; Hemiptera; Rhyparochromidae.
UGAUUAAUUAAUUAUUAUUUAUCUUACUGUGUAUUUAUUUUUAUGAAAUAUCAAUAUUUAUUAGUAUUCUUUAUAGAAAUUUUUUAUUUAAUUAUAGUUAAUUGUAUUGUAAAAGUUAUUAUUGAGUUUUUAGGAAGUUGAUUUUAUUUAUUGUACCUUUUGUAUCAGGGUUUAUUAAUUAAUUAUUAUUUAUCUUAAUAUUUCCCGAAAUUUAAGGAGUUAAAAAUUAAUGAUUUUAUAUGUUUCAUAAUAUUAUUUAAUUAAUUUUUAGUGGUUAUAUGCUAUUCAUCUUAUUUAUAUCUGGUUUUUUAAUAUUUAAAUUUAAUUUAAAAUUCAUUUAUCUAUUUUUAAUUUUAUUAUUUAUAGUUUAAUGAAUUUAAUAUUGUGGGGGAUAAGCUCUGCAUUAUAUUUAUAAUAUUUUAUUUAUAAAAUUUAUGUAGGCUUAAUAACAGCCAUCUUUAAUUUCGUUAUAGUUUAAAUUUUUUAUUAUUUUAUUUUGUUUAUAUUUAAUUUUUUAUUAAAAUGGUUACUUUAUUUUUUACUGUUACUUAAUAAUGAUAAAAUUAGUAGUUUAGUAAUUUUAAAUAUAGGAAUUCGGCAAUUUUUAUAUUCGCCUGUUUAACAAAAACAUGUCCUAUUGAAUAAUUUAAUAUUAGGUCUGGCCUGCUCAAUGAUUAAUAUUAAAUAGCCGCAGUAUAUUGACUGUGCAAAGGUAGCAUAAUCAUUUGUCUCUUAAUUGGGGGCUUGUAUGAAUGGUUGGACGAAAUAUAGACUUUCUUUAUUUAAAUUUUAUGAAUUUAAUAUUUUAGUGAAAAAGCUGAAAUGUUUUUAUGGGACGAGAAGACCCUAUAGAAUUUUAUUUUAUUUAUUUAUAUAAAUUUUAUGUUUUUAUAUUUUUAUAUAUUUAUUAGAAUUUGAUUGGGGUGAUUAUGAAAUUAUAUUAACUUUCAUUUAUUAAUUUUCAUUAAUUGGUGUAUUUUUGAUCCUUUAUUAUGGAUUAUAAGAUUAAAUUACCUUAGGGAUAACAGCGUAAUUCUUUUGGAGAGUUCUUAUCGAUAAAAGAGUUUGCGACCUCGAUGUUGGAUUAAAAUUAUAUUUGGGUGUAGAAGCUCAAUUUUUAGGUCUGUUCGACCUUUAAUUUUUUACAUGAUCUGAGUUCAGACCGGCGUGAGCCAGGUUGGUUUCUAUCUAUAAUUUAUUUUAAUAUUUUAGUACGAAAGGACCAUUUAUUAAUAAUAUUUAUUUAUUUCUUGAUUAAUAUUAAA